RNAcentral lists this ribosomal RNA (488 nucleotides) under Lycozoarces regani. Its description in RNAcentral is "partial 12S rRNA". It matches the Rfam family "Bacterial small subunit ribosomal RNA", at positions 278 to 991 of the family's 1533-position model. The record is from RNAcentral. Lineage: Eukaryota; Metazoa; Chordata; Actinopteri; Perciformes; Zoarcidae.
AACCCCUAGUGAGCCCACGACGCCUUGCUUAGCCACGCCCUCAAGGGAGCUCAGCAGUGAUAAACAUUAAGCCAUAAGUGAAAACUUGACUUAGUUAAAGCUAACAAGGGCCGGUAAAACUCGUGCCAGCCACCGCGGUUAUACGAGAGGCCCAAGUUGAAAGACUGCGGCGUAAAGAGUGGUUAAGCUAGAAUUUACACUAAAGCCGAACGUACUCACGGCUGUUAUACGCACCCGAAGAUAAGAAGCUCGACCACGAAGGUGGCUUUACUUAGUCUGAACCCACGAAAGCUACGGCACAAACUGGGAUUAGAUACCCCACUAUGCCUAGCCCUAAACAUUGAUAGUAUUAUACACCCACUAUCCGCCUGGGAACUACGAGCACUAGCUUAAAACCCAAAGGACUUGGCGGUGCUUUAGACCCACCUAGAGGAGCCUGUUCUAGAACCGAUAACCCCCGUUCAACCUCACCUUUCCUUGUUUUACCC